AUCGUAUAGAUUAGAUGUUUUAUUUUUUUACAACUUUGUAUCACAUACAACAAACCUAAGGUUUCAAAAUCUAGAAUUUUGCAAAAAAAUAAGUUCUUCCUUUCACGUUCUUCUUCAUGGGAUUUAAUCACAUGGCACCCUUACACACCAUAAAAGUACUCCAUCGAAUGGAAAGAGAGGGCCUUCAAACUCUUCUUGCUCCUG
RNAcentral lists this long non-coding RNA (204 nucleotides) under Elaeis guineensis (African oil palm). RNAcentral's name for it is "long non-coding RNA (EGUI_LNC071420)". The record is from RNAcentral. Lineage: Eukaryota; Viridiplantae; Streptophyta; Magnoliopsida; Arecales; Arecaceae.